Molecule: ribosomal RNA, 857 nt
Filed under: uncultured bacterium
Lineage: Bacteria
Description: bacterial SSU rRNA
Rfam family: Bacterial small subunit ribosomal RNA
Source: RNAcentral
GCUACACAUGCAAGUCGAACGAACUCGACCUUCGGGUCAUAGAGUGAGUGGCGAACGGGUGAGUAACACGUGAGAAACCUGCCCCGAAGACUGGAACAACCCGAGGAAACUCGGGCUAAUACCGGAUAUCCCCAUCGGAUCGCAUGAUCUGGUGAGGAAAUGCUCCGGCGCUUCGGGAGGGUCUCGCGGCCUAUCAGCUAGUUGGUGAGGUAACGGCUCACCAAGGCAACGACGGGUAGCUGGUCUGAGAGGACGAUCAGCCACACUGGGACUGAGACACGGCCCAGACUCCUACGGGAGGCAGCAGUGGGGAAUAUUGCGCAAUGGGCGAAAGCCUGACGCAGCCACGCCGCGUGAGGGAUGAAGGCUCUAGGGUUGUAAACCUCUUUAGGCAGGGAAGAAAAUGACGGUACCUGCAGAAUAAGGUCCGGCCAACUAUGUGCCAGCAGCCGCGGUAAUACAUAGGGACCGAGCGUUGUCCGGAUUUAUUGGGCGUAAAGAGCUCGUAGGCGGUUCGGUAAGUCAGGUGUGAAAGCUCGAGGCUCAACCUCGAGAUGCCACCUGAUACUGCUGUGACUUGAGUCCGGUAGAGGAGUGUGGAAUUCCUGGUGUAGCGGUGAAAUGCGCAGAUAUCAGGAGGAACACCAAUUGCGAAGGCAGCACUCUGGGCCGGUACUGACGCUGAGGAGCGAAAGCGUGGGGAGCGAACAGGAUUAGAUACCCUGGUAGUCCACGCCGUAAACGUUGGGCACUAGGUGUGGGAUCGAAUUAACCGAUUCCGUACCGUAGCUAACGCAUUAAGUGCCCCGCCUGGGGAGUACGGCCGCAAGGCUAAAACUCAAGGAAUUGACGGGGCC